This 468-nucleotide ribosomal RNA is filed under the name uncultured bacterium. RNAcentral describes it as "partial 16S ribosomal RNA". It matches the Rfam family "Bacterial small subunit ribosomal RNA", at positions 28 to 507 of the family's 1533-position model. The record is from RNAcentral.
GACGAACGCUGGCGGCGUGCUUAACACAUGCAAGUCGAACGGAAAGGCCCUGCUUUUGUGGGGUGCUCUAGUGGCGAACGGGUGAGUAACACGUGAGUAACCUGCCCUUGACUUUGGGAUAACUUCAGGCAACUGGGGCUAAUACCGCAUAGGAGCUCCUGCUGCAUGGUGGGGGUUGGAAAGUUUCGGCGGUUGGGGGUGGAAUCGCGGCUUAUCAGCUUGUUGGUGGGGUAGUGGCUGACCAAGGCUUUGACGGGUAGCCGGCCUGAGAGGGUGACCGGCCACAUUGGGACUGAGAUACGGCCCAGACUCCUACGGGAGGCAGCAGUGGGGAAUAUUGCACAAUGGGCGGAAGCCUGAUGCAGCAAAGCCGCGUGCGGGAUGACGGCCUUCGGGUUGUAAACCGCUUUCGCCUGUGACGAAGCGUGAGUGACGGUAAUGGGUAAAGAAGCACCGGCUAACUACGUG